Molecule: ribosomal RNA, 507 nt
Filed under: uncultured bacterium
Lineage: Bacteria
Description: bacterial SSU rRNA
Rfam family: Bacterial small subunit ribosomal RNA
Source: RNAcentral
AAGAAGGCCUUCGGGUUGUAAAGACUCUUUCGGCCGGGAAAAAAUACGCCUCUCCUAAUACGGGGGUGGGAUGAUGGUACCGGACUAAGAAGCACCGGCUAACUACGUGCCAGCAGCCGCGGUAAUACGUAGGGUGCGAGCGUUAAUCGGAAUUACUGGGCGUAAAGCGUGCGCAGGCGGUUUUUUAAGACAGGCGUGAAAUCCCCGGGCUUAACCUGGGAACUGCGCUUGUGACUGGAAGGCUAGAGUACGGCAGAGGGGGGGUGGAAUUCCACGUGUAGCAGUGAAAUGCGUAGAGAUGUGGAGGAACACCGAUGGCGAAGGCAGCCCCCUGGGCCGAUACUGACGCUCAUGCACGAAAGCGUGGGGAGCAAACAGGAUUAGAUACCCCUGGUAGUCCACGCCCUAAACGAUGUCAACUAGGUGUUGGGUGGGUAAAACCAUUUAGUACCGGAGCUAACGCGUGAAGUUGACCGCCUGGGGAGUACGGCCGCAAGGUUAAAACUC